UAGGGAAUCUUCCACAAUGGACGAAAGUCUGAUGGAGCAACGCCGCGUGAGUGAAGAAGGUUUUCGGAUCGUAAAGCUCUGUUGUAAGUCAAGAACGAGUGUGAGAGUGGAAAGUUCACACUGUGACGGUAGCUUACCAGAAAGGGACGGCUAACUACG
This 159-nucleotide ribosomal RNA is filed under the name uncultured bacterium. RNAcentral's name for it is "partial 16S ribosomal RNA". It matches the Rfam family "Bacterial small subunit ribosomal RNA", at positions 355 to 505 of the family's 1533-position model. The record is from RNAcentral.